RNAcentral lists this ribosomal RNA (329 nucleotides) under Salmonella enterica subsp. enterica serovar Oranienburg str. S-76. Its description in RNAcentral is "bacterial LSU rRNA". It matches the Rfam family "Bacterial large subunit ribosomal RNA", at positions 2605 to 2925 of the family's 2925-position model. The record is from RNAcentral. Lineage: Bacteria; Pseudomonadati; Pseudomonadota; Gammaproteobacteria; Enterobacterales; Enterobacteriaceae.
CUGGGUUUAGAACGUCGUGAGACAGUUCGGUCCCUAUCUGCCGUGGGCGCUGGAGAACUGAGGGGGGCUGCUCCUAGUACGAGAGGACCGGAGUGGACGCAUCACUGGUGUUCGGGUUGUCAUGCCAAUGGCACUGCCCGGUAGCUAAAUGCGGAAGAGAUAAGUGCUGAAAGCAUCUAAGCACGAAACUUGCCCCGAGAUGAGUUCUCCCUGAGACUUUAGAGUCUCCUGAAGGAACGUUGAAGACGACGACGUUGAUAGGCCGGGUGUGUAAGCGCAGCGAUGCGUUGAGCUAACCGGUACUAAUGAACCGUGAGGCUUAACCUUAC